This 253-nucleotide ribosomal RNA is filed under the name uncultured bacterium. Its description in RNAcentral is "partial 16S ribosomal RNA". It matches the Rfam family "Bacterial small subunit ribosomal RNA", at positions 524 to 776 of the family's 1533-position model. The record is from RNAcentral.
UACGAAGGGGGCUAGCGUUGCUCGGAAUUACUGGGCGUAAAGGGCGCGUAGGCGGAUAGUUUAGUCAGAGGUGAAAGCCCAGGGCUCAACCUUGGAAUUGCCUUUGAUACUGGCUAUCUUGAGUUCGGGAGAGGUGAGUGGAAUGCCGGGUGUAGAGGUGAAAUUCGUAGAUAUUCGGCGGAACACCAGUGGCGAAGGCGGCUCGCUGGGCCGAUACUGACGCUGAGGCGCGAAAGCGUGGGGAGCAAACCGG